UGGUGUGAGCCAUUAAGCUAACUUGUACUAAUUACCCGUGAGGCUUAACCAUACAACGCCAAACGCGUUUUG
Molecule: ribosomal RNA, 72 nt
Filed under: Pseudoalteromonas sp. S327
Lineage: Bacteria; Pseudomonadati; Pseudomonadota; Gammaproteobacteria; Alteromonadales; Pseudoalteromonadaceae
Description: partial 23S ribosomal RNA
Source: RNAcentral